GUGAUCUCGUAUUUAACCAUCAAUGUCUGAGCAGUGGAACACAGCCAUUAUCUUCAGGUGAUCUCGCAUUUAACCAUCAAUACACGUUAAGAUCACCCGCACAGCUGAUCUCAACCGCUCCCUAAAAUCUGAGCUUCAUUUGAGGUGUAAACUUAGUCCUCCUCUCAACCCCAAAAUUUCUAAAACAUAUUCACCCUCCCUACAGGGUGUUAUCUUCAGUUGAAAUAAAACCUGGUAAUCGAGCAGACUAAGGGUUGAUUGAACUAUUUAACAAUCAUUCAGUACAACUGAAAAAAAGUAAUUUCUCCUAUAAGACAGCAAUUAUACUGUGGCAAUAUCAUCAUACAGGUUAUAUCAAUAUCUCAUAUAGAUUAUAUCAAUAUAUUAUACAGGUUAUAUCAAUAUAUCAUACAGGUUAUAUCAGUAUAUCAUACAGGUUAUGUCAAUAUAUCAUACAGGUUAUAUCAAUAUAUCAUACAGGUUAUAUCAAUAUAUCAUACAGGUUAUAUCAAUAUAUCAUACAGGUUAUAUCAAUAUAUCAUACAGGUUAUAUCAAUAUAUCAUACAGGUUAUAUCAAUAUAUCAUACAGGUUAAAUCAAUAUAUCAUACAGGUUAUAUCAAUAUAUCAUACAGAUUAAAUCAAUAUCAUCAUACAGAUUAUAUCAAUAUCAUCAUACAGAUUAUAUCAAUAUAUCAUACAGAUUAUAUCAGUAUAUCAUACAGGUUAUAUCAAUAUAUCAUACAGAUUAUAUCAAUAUAUCAUACAGGUUAUAUCAAUAUAUCAUACAGAUUAUAUCAAUAUAUCAUACAGAUUAUAUCAAUAUAUCAUACAGAUUAUAUCAAUAUCAUCAUACAGAUUAUAUCAAUAUAUCAUACAGAUUAUAUCAAUAUAUCAUACAGGUUAUAUCAAUAUAUCAUACAGAUUAUAUCAAUAUAUCAUACAGGUUAUAUCAAUAUAUCAUACAGAUUAUAUCAAUAUAUCAUACAGGUUAUAUCAAUAUAUCAUACAGGUUAUAUCAAUAUAUCAUACAGAUUAUAUCAAUAUAUCAUACAGGUUAUAUCAAUAUCAUCAUACAGAUUAUAUCAAUAUAUCAUUCAGAUUAUAUGAAUGGAAAACUCAUUUUAGUGCACUAAUUACUUUUUCAUUUCCAAUUGAUGUAACCCAUUACCUUGUCUAUUAAUUUGUCUAAUAAAGCAUGACUU
RNAcentral lists this long non-coding RNA (1204 nucleotides) under Salmo salar (Atlantic salmon). RNAcentral's name for it is "lncRNA (ENSSSAG00000099119.1)". The record is from RNAcentral. Lineage: Eukaryota; Metazoa; Chordata; Actinopteri; Salmoniformes; Salmonidae.